Long non-coding RNA from Triticum dicoccoides, 883 nucleotides. RefSeq lists it as uncharacterized. Lineage: Eukaryota; Viridiplantae; Streptophyta; Magnoliopsida; Poales; Poaceae. The record is from RefSeq and is a predicted model, not a curated record. The transcript has 2 exons.
GGAAGCUCCAGCCUCCAACCCUACCGAGCGGAUCGGCGGACGCGGGGCAAGCUGCGGCCGGCGACCAGCGUGGCGGCACCACUGGUUGCCCUGGCCGGCAGGAAGUGCCGCGCACCCGCGCGGCCGUGUACUCAGCUAGCGAGCCUGGGACUGCGGGUCUGCGGCGCCUGCGCCCACGCGCCGACGGCCGGAUCUCAGCUCGUGCGGCUGUUGAGCGGCGAACCUAUAGUCGGCGUUCAGUAAGCAGGAAGCAGCAGCCUGCGCCGGCGACGCACCAGGAGCCAGAAGCCAGGCGCCCGCAUUUGGCAUCUGUCCUUGGAGAAAAAAAUUAAGUUUUCCCACGGUCAACUUUGAGCCCACCCUCCACUUUCUUCCUAGAUUCGCCACUGGCCCUGCCCGGUGCACUUUGGCACACCGGUGGGAAGCCAAGUUGGAAUUUCAAUGGCGUCCAGGUUCAAUGUGAUCGUCAAGGUGAGUGCUUGUCGCGACAUCAACGUAGAGGUUAAUAAGUUAACCAGCGUUGAAAGGCUGAAGGAGCUCAUCGAGGACGAAGCGGAAAUCCCCGCCGCGUUUCAGCGGAUGUUCCUCAAAGGAAAGGAGCUUGACGAUGACUGCGAGAUGAUUGACUACGGCGUCGUGGAAGGCUCUGUCUUCAUGGUUAUCAGCCGCAAAUUUAUUUCCUUGCAUCGAUCUAGUAGUAACAAUAAAGAUAGGAGUCCAUCAUCGUCUUAGAUUUCAUCGAGGCAUCAGGCAGUGCUUGUGUUACUAGUGAUGGUUUCAGUUGAUGCUUAGUUUUGUUUUGGCAGGAUCAGAUUUAUAUAUGUAAUCCACGAAUGAGCAAAUGUAUAUUGUCGUGUAUGUGUUUGGGUAUGUCAUGGUUAAA